GUGGGGAAUAUUGCACAAUGGGCGCAAGCCUGAUGCAGCAACGCCGCGUGAGGGAUGACGGCCUUCGGGUUGUAAACCUCUUUUAGUAGGGAAGAAGCGAAAGUGACGGUACCUACAGAAAAAGCACCGGCUAACUACGUGCCAGCAGCCGCGGUAAUACGUAGGGUGCAAGCGUUGUCCGGAAUUAUUGGGCGUAAAGAGCUCGUAGGCGGCUUGUCGCGUCUGCUGUGAAAUCCCGGGGCUCAACCCCGGGCCUGCAGUGGGCACGGGCAGGCUAGAGUGCGGUAGGGGAGAUUGGAAUUCCUGGUGUAGCGGUGGAAUGCGCAGAUAUCAGGAGGAACUCCGAUGGCGAAGGCAGAUCUCUGGGCCGCUACUGACGCUGAGGAGCGAAAGCAUGGGGAGCGAACAGGAUUAGAAACCCUGGUAGUCC
This 430-nucleotide ribosomal RNA is filed under the name uncultured bacterium. Its description in RNAcentral is "partial 16S ribosomal RNA". It matches the Rfam family "Bacterial small subunit ribosomal RNA", at positions 354 to 796 of the family's 1533-position model. The record is from RNAcentral.